GAUGAACGCUAGCUACAGGCUUAACACAUGCAAGUCGAGGGGCAGCAUGAACUUAGCUUGCUAAGUUUGAUGGCGACCGGCGCACGGGUGAGUAACACGGUAUCCAACCUUCCGUUACUCAGGGAUAGCCUUUCGAAAGAAAGAUUAAUAUCUGAUAGUAUGGUGAGAUUGCAUGAUAACACCAUUAAAGAUUUAUUGGUAAACGAUGGGGAUGCGUUCCAUUAGGUAGUAGGCGGGGUAACGCCCACCUAGCCUGCGAUGGAUAGGGGUUCUGAGAGGAAGGUCCCCCANAUUGGAACUGAGACAC
RNAcentral lists this ribosomal RNA (307 nucleotides) under uncultured bacterium. RNAcentral describes it as "bacterial SSU rRNA". It matches the Rfam family "Bacterial small subunit ribosomal RNA", at positions 28 to 327 of the family's 1533-position model. The record is from RNAcentral.